CCUACGGGAGGUAGCAGUAGGGAAUAUUGCUCAAUGGGGGAAACCCUGAAGCAGCAACGCCGCGUGGAGGAUGAAGGUUUUCGGAUUGUAAACUCCUUUUGUUAGAGAAGAUAAUGACGGUAUCUAACGAAUAAGCACCGGCUAACUCCGUGCCAGCAGCCGCGGUAAUACGGAGGGUGCAAGCGUUACUCGGAAUCACUGGGCGUAAAGAGCGCGUAGGCGGGAUAGCAAGUCAGAUGUGAAAUCCUAUGGCUUAACCAUAGAACUGCAUUUGAAACUGUUAUUCUAGAGUAUGGGAGAGGUAGGUGGAAUGCUUGGUGUAGGGGUAAAAUGCGUAGAGAUCAAGAGGAAUACUCAUUGCGAAGGCGACCUGCUAGAACAUAACUGACGCUGAUGCGCGAAAGCGUGGGGAGCAAACAGGAUUAGAUACCCCUGUAGUC
Molecule: ribosomal RNA, 440 nt
Filed under: uncultured bacterium
Lineage: Bacteria
Description: partial 16S ribosomal RNA
Rfam family: Bacterial small subunit ribosomal RNA
Source: RNAcentral